This 377-nucleotide ribosomal RNA is filed under the name uncultured Pseudoflavonifractor sp. RNAcentral describes it as "bacterial SSU rRNA". It matches the Rfam family "Bacterial small subunit ribosomal RNA", at positions 354 to 744 of the family's 1533-position model. Lineage: Bacteria; Bacillati; Bacillota; Clostridia; Eubacteriales; Oscillospiraceae. The record is from RNAcentral.
UGGGGGAAUAUUGGGCAAUGGGGGGAAACCCUGACCCAGCAACGCCGCGUGAAGGAAGAAGGCUUUCGGGUUGUAAACUUCUUUUACCAGGGACGAAGAACGUGACGGUACCUGGAGAAAAAGCCACGGCUAACUACGUGCCAGCAGCCGCGGUAAUACGUAGGUGGCGAGCGUUAUCCGGAAUUACUGGGUGUAAAGGGUGUGUAGGCGGGCUAGCAAGUCAGAUGUGAAAACUAAGGGCCUAACCCUUAGCCUGCAUUUGAAACUGUUGGUCUUGAGAGUGGGAGAGGUAAACGGAAUUCCCGGUGUAGCAGUGAAAUGCGUAGAUAUCGGGAGGAACAUCGGUGGCGAAGGCAGUUUACUGGACCAUUACUGAC